AUUUUCUUAGUAUAACUAGUACAGAUGACUUCCAAUCACCCAGCCCCAGUUUAACUCUGAGAGAAAAUA
Molecule: transfer RNA, 69 nt
Filed under: Sooglossus sechellensis (Seychelles frog)
Lineage: Eukaryota; Metazoa; Chordata; Amphibia; Anura; Sooglossidae
Description: tRNA-Gly
Source: RNAcentral